This 208-nucleotide ribosomal RNA is filed under the name uncultured bacterium. Its description in RNAcentral is "partial 16S ribosomal RNA". It matches the Rfam family "Bacterial small subunit ribosomal RNA", at positions 568 to 774 of the family's 1533-position model. The record is from RNAcentral.
UGCGUAGGUGGCAUGGUAAGUUUGAUGUGAAAGCUCAGGGCUCAACCCUGAAAUGGCAUUGAAUACUACUGUGCUGGAGGUUUGGAGGGGGGGACUGGAAUUCUUGGUGUAGCAGUGAAAUGCGUAGAUAUCAAGAGGAACACCAGUGGCGAAGGCGAGUCCCUGGACAACACCUGACACUGAGGCACGAAAGCUAGGGGAGCAAACA